RNAcentral lists this ribosomal RNA (393 nucleotides) under uncultured bacterium. RNAcentral describes it as "partial 16S ribosomal RNA". It matches the Rfam family "Bacterial small subunit ribosomal RNA", at positions 523 to 918 of the family's 1533-position model. The record is from RNAcentral.
AUACGGAGGUUGCAAGCGUUAUCCGGAUUUAUUGGGUUUAAAGGGUGCGUAGGCGGUUUGCUAAGCGGGAGGUGAAAUGCCGGCGCUCAACGUCGGAAGUGCCUCCCGAACUGGUGGACUGGAAUGACUCUGCCGUGGGAGGAAUGUGUAGUGUAGCGGUGAAAUGCUUAGAGAUUACACAGAACACCGAUUGCGAAGGCAUCUCACGAAGGGUUGAUUGACGCUGAGGCACGAAAGCGUGGGGAUCAAACAGGAUUAGAUACCCUGGUAGUCCACGCAGUAAACGAUGAUGGCUAACCGCUGGGCUUAUCAGUUCAGUGGCCAAGCGAAAGCGAUAAGCCAUCCACCUGGGGAGUACGACCGCAAGGUUGAAACUCAAAUGAAUUGACGGGG